UGAAGCCCGAUGACUUGGGGUCCCUGAGGCUGAACGUAGUUUACACAGAAGACCACGUCUUCUCCUCUGAGUACUAUAGCCCCCUGCGUGACCUGCUAUUGAAGUCUGCGGAUGUGGAGCCUGUCUCAGCCUCAGCAGCUCACAUUCUGGGCGAGGUCUGCAGAGAAAAGCAGGAGGCAGCCAUCCCACUGGUGCGACUCCUGCUGCACUAUGGCAGGGUAGUGCCCUUCAUCAGCGCCAUCGCCAGUGCAGAGGUGAAGAGGACCCAGUAAGUGCCCCUUCCUGCCCCCACCCCUUCAUGCCCAGCCUUCACACCUAGCCCCCUCCUUAUCUCCGUGUUCUUUCCCUAUACUGCACCCCCAUAUGAAGACCCUCCCCGCUUCCCUUGUACUUCCACUUGACCCCUGCUGCUCUCUGCACCCCUCCAUCCCCU
RNAcentral lists this long non-coding RNA (433 nucleotides) under Nannospalax galili (Upper Galilee mountains blind mole rat). Its description in RNAcentral is "lncRNA (ENSNGAG00000024633.1)". The record is from RNAcentral. Lineage: Eukaryota; Metazoa; Chordata; Mammalia; Rodentia; Spalacidae.